AUUCAAGUUUCAUUUUGGAAGGGCGAAGGUAUUAUAACAAGAAUAUGGAUGUAACAAAAUGGUGGGCAAGACAGUUCACAUACAGGCUGCUGGAAGGGUUCUUUUCUUAGGGGUGGAAUCGAUAAAAUGUUCAUUGUGCAUUUUUCUGAUUGCAUGCUUCCGGGCUGCACUCGGCCCGUUGGCUUGCCUGAUGCUGAUGACAUUGUUGUUCUCGCUGUUUCUUGGGAUUUCAACUUUCUCCAUUGUUGGCGGCGUUCUUUGGUCAUGGGCCUCUUUCGCAGCGUGGGCGUCGUGACAGAUGACUUUCGUGUCCUUUUCGUGUGCCCUUUGC
RNAcentral lists this long non-coding RNA (331 nucleotides) under Androctonus crassicauda. The record is from RNAcentral. Lineage: Eukaryota; Metazoa; Arthropoda; Arachnida; Scorpiones; Buthidae.